UGAGCAAUCUGCCCUUCUCUUUGGAAUAAGCGUUGGAAACGACGUCUAAUGCUGAAUACGACCUCCUUUCGCAUGAUCGGAGGUGGAAAGCUCCGGCGGAGAAGGAUGAGCUCGCGGCCUAUCAGCUAGUUGGUGUGGGUAAUGGCUCACCAAGGCGACGACGGGUAGCCGGCCUGAGAGGGUGACCGGCCACACUGGGACUGAGACACGGCCCAGACUCCUAGGGAG
Molecule: ribosomal RNA, 228 nt
Filed under: uncultured bacterium
Lineage: Bacteria
Description: partial 16S ribosomal RNA
Rfam family: Bacterial small subunit ribosomal RNA
Source: RNAcentral